CGAGUACUCUCUCCGUUCGAAAAAAGCUUGUCCCUCAAAUGAAUAUAUCUAGCAUCAAGUUAGUGCUAGAUACAUCCAUUUAAAAAACAAGCUUGGGACAAGCUUUUUCGGACGAAGGGAGUACAAU
Molecule: non-coding RNA, 127 nt
Organism: Triticum urartu
Lineage: Eukaryota; Viridiplantae; Streptophyta; Magnoliopsida; Poales; Poaceae
Source: Rfam